This 73-nucleotide transfer RNA is filed under the name Candidatus Woesearchaeota archaeon. Its description in RNAcentral is "tRNA-Gln". It matches the Rfam family "tRNA". Rfam says of the family: Transfer RNA (tRNA) molecules are approximately 80 nucleotides in length. The record is from RNAcentral. Lineage: Archaea; Nanobdellati; Candidatus Woesearchaeota.
AGCCCCGUAGUGUAGUGGCCAAUCAUGCCGGCCUUUGGAGCCGGAGACCCCGGUUCGAAUCCGGGCGGGGCUA